RNAcentral lists this ribosomal RNA (440 nucleotides) under uncultured bacterium. Its description in RNAcentral is "partial 16S ribosomal RNA". It matches the Rfam family "Bacterial small subunit ribosomal RNA", at positions 338 to 795 of the family's 1533-position model. The record is from RNAcentral.
CCUACGGGUGGCAGCAGUGGGGGAUAUUGCACAAUGGGGGAAACCCUGAUGCAGCGACGCCGCGUGAGUGAAGAAGUACUUCGUUAUGUAAAGCUCUAUCAGCAGGGAAGAAAAUGACGGUUCCUGAGUAAGAAACCCCGGCUAACUACGUGCCAGCCGCCGCGGUUAUACGUAGGGGGCAAGCGUUCUCCGGAUUUAAUGGGUGGAAAGGGAGCGUAGACGGCAGUGCAAGUCAGGAGUGAAAGGCGGGGGCUCAACCCCCGGACUGCUCUGGAAACUGUACGGCUGGAGUGCAGGAGAGGCAGGUGGAAUUCCUAGUGGAGCGGUGAAAUGCGUAGAUAUUAGGAGGAACACCAGUGGCGAAGGCGGCUUACUGGACUGUAACUGACGUUGAGGCUCGAAAGCGUGGGGAGCAAACAGGAUUAGAUACCCUUGUAGUC